Molecule: ribosomal RNA, 461 nt
Filed under: uncultured bacterium
Lineage: Bacteria
Description: partial 16S ribosomal RNA
Rfam family: Bacterial small subunit ribosomal RNA
Source: RNAcentral
CCUACGGGAGGCAGCAGUGAGGAAUAUUGGUCAAUGGGCGGAAGCCUGAACCAGCCAAGUCGCGUGAGGGAUUAAGGCCCUAUGGGUCGUAAACCUCUUUUGUCAGGGAGCAAUGGCGUCCACGUGUGGGCGUAUGGAGAGUACCUGAAGAAAAAGCAUCGGCUAACUCCGUGCCAGCAGCCGCGGUAAUACGGAGGAUGCGAGCGUUAUCCGGAUUUAUUGGGUGUAAAGGGCGUGCAGCCGGGAAGACAAGUCAGAUGUGAAAUCCCGCGGCUCAACCGCGGAACUGCAUUUGAAACUGUUUUUCUUGAGUAUCGGAGAGGUAAUCGGAAUUCCUAGUGUAGCGGUGAAAUGCGUAGAUAUUAGGAAGAACACCAGUGGCGAAGGCGGAUUACUGGACGACAACUGACGGUGAGGCGCGAAAGCGUGGGGAGCAAACAGGAUUAGAUACCCCGGUAGUC